Phalaenopsis equestris is the source of this 103-nucleotide long non-coding RNA. RefSeq lists it as uncharacterized. The record is from RefSeq and is a predicted model, not a curated record. The transcript is spliced from 3 exons. Lineage: Eukaryota; Viridiplantae; Streptophyta; Magnoliopsida; Asparagales; Orchidaceae.
GAGAAAGAGACAGAGAGAGAGAGAUGUAUAAAGCUACAUCUCAUCAGAAGCAUAAGAGCUGUGUUCCUCUACAAGCUUCCCUUGGGUCCACCUCUUCAACAUC